GCUGUUGUUGUUGUUGUUGUUGUUGUAGGGUUUGUUGUUAUUGCUAUUAUUAUUAUUGUUGUUGUUGUUGUUGUUGUUGUUGUUGUUGUUGUUGUUGUUGUUGUUGUUGUUGUUGUUGUUGUUGUUGUUGUUGAUGAUGGACGACGGGGACGUGCUAAACCACUGCUGGACGCCCUCGGUGAUGUUGAUUUUCAUCCAACCGCUGUGUUGGAUGGUCACCUUUUGCGAAGCCAAUAACAACUCGUUCCAAUCCUGCGUCAGACGCUACACGAAUAAUUUGCUAUUAAUAAUCAGCCUUUCUUUGUCUUUUUGUUUGUUUUUUUAAUUGAUUUGAUAUUAAGAAAAAGGGGAGUGGCGAAAGGGAGUGACCUUAUUCGUGGCGUUGGUUAGAGGGCCGUGAACAUCUGACGGAAGAAGCCGAAAGACGUAGAGCGUCGGUGACCUACUGGUGCGUUGCUGUUGGUGGCCUCGCUGGUGACGUUGAUUCGCACUUUUCGGCAGAUGCGACGACGAUGUUAAACUAGUGCCAUUAAUUUGGACGUGAAGCCAUAAAGUGGCCGAUUUAACUCGCAAACUUGGCUCGGGCGCCGUUUCCUGGACUCGUGAAAAUUCGGCCAACACCUGCCCGUUGAGUCUCGGACCUGUUUUGGAAAUGAAACGCUUUUACAAGGCGCUUUAUGUGGAAAUGGUGCAUAAAUCUUAUGGACCGGGCCAUGAUGUGCGAUUCUAUUGAAAUCGCCUGUAGAGCUGGGCUGUAGAUCAAAUCAUAUCCUUGGCAAACAAAACAAAAAGGAAGAAAGAAGAAGAAAAGAGAUCAAAAGAAGAGAUCAAUAAAAUAAAGAAAAAAAGUCAGUUGAUUUCACGUCAUGUCUAGCCCGCAGUCUAGACGAUGCCAGUCUUUUCUCCUUGACGAUUGCGAGAGAAAAGUCGAGAAAAAGAAAGUGACAGACAACAAUGCGCUUAUCAGACAGUAUACGUCUGGCGCAUUUUCUUGUUCUGCGUGAAACGCCGGUAGGAUAUCCAACUGGUCGAAUGUUGCGCGAUCGUCAAUCGAAUCAACGACGCGUACGAUUUCAAAAAGAGAAGAAGAGAAAAGAAGAGAAAAUCGAGACAACGCGAAUGGCAUUUUUCGCUGCAAACGAAUUGCCCAAAAGGCGUGUAAAAGGGCGGGGAGGAGGUAGGUCGUGUUGGGCUUCUACAAGGAGUUAGACGACGUCC
Molecule: long non-coding RNA, 1218 nt
Organism: Daphnia carinata
Lineage: Eukaryota; Metazoa; Arthropoda; Branchiopoda; Diplostraca; Daphniidae
Exons: 3
Source: RefSeq, a predicted model, not a curated record